AAUAUUGGACAAUGGGCGAAAGCCUGAUGCAGCAACGCCGCGUGAGGGAUGACGGCCUUCGGGUUGUAAACCUCUUUUGUCAGGGAAGAAGCCUUUGGGUUACGGUACCUGGAGAAAAAGCACCGGCUAACUACGUGCCAGCAGCCGCGGUAAUACGUAGGGUGCAAGCGUUGUCCGGAAUUAUUGGGCGGAAAGAGCUCGUAGGCGGCUUGGCGCGGCUGCUGUGAAAACCCGGGGGUCCACCUCGGGGCUGCAGUGGGUUCGGGCAGGCUUGAGUGGCGUUGGGGAGAUUGGAAUUUCUGGUGUAGCGGUGGAAUGCGCAGAUAUCAGGGGGAACACCGGUGGCGAAGGCAGAUCUCUGGGCCGCUACUGACGCUGAGGAGCGAAAGCAUGGGGAGCGAA
This 402-nucleotide ribosomal RNA is filed under the name uncultured bacterium. RNAcentral describes it as "partial 16S ribosomal RNA". It matches the Rfam family "Bacterial small subunit ribosomal RNA", at positions 360 to 772 of the family's 1533-position model. The record is from RNAcentral.